Molecule: long non-coding RNA, 822 nt
Filed under: Gossypium barbadense (sea-island cotton)
Lineage: Eukaryota; Viridiplantae; Streptophyta; Magnoliopsida; Malvales; Malvaceae
Description: long non-coding RNA (GBAR_LNC022800)
Source: RNAcentral
AUCAAUCUUGAAAUCGUUUUUUUCUUUUCCUUUAUUUUGCCUAGCUGCAGUGCCAGCUUUCGGGCUGGCUACCGUCCGCCUCGUUCACUUCAUAUGACUCUCCUUUUAGUUUGUAGAUCUAUUUUGUGAGCUCUCUAUUCACUCCAAAUGCUUUAUAUUUUUUUUCAAUUUGCAGAUCUAUUUUGUGAGUAUCUUCAAUAUCUUCCCAAGUUGUGAUGGACAAAUGAUGAUGUCGUCUUUGAACCUUCACCGAUCAUCAAUGGUUUCUUUUGGAAAGUGAGUUGGUUGUAUAAACUCAAACAGUGGCUCUUCAUCGACUUCCUAAUAUGUUUAUGUUUUGAAAUAAUAAAUGAAUUCGUGAGUCAAUUUGGACAUGUAUUAUCUUUAAGUUUUAUAUGUUUUCUUAUUUGUUUUUCAUUGUUUAAUAAGUCUUAACUUUUUAAAAAAAAUUCAAUCUUGCUUAUACAUGUAGUCUUACUUUUGUGUGAUUUUAGGAGAUUUUCUGGUCGGCCUCUCUAGUUUGAUGGAUGCUCAAUUAUUUUGUCGAUUCCACCCACCGCUCUGAAUCAUCUAAGGUUGAUUUUCUGAUCGUGAUAGUUGCUUGCAAUCGCUCCAAAUAUGUUGUGUGUGAGUUGUGACAAAGCCAAAUAUCAACGUGUUGUAAUGUUCUAUUGAUGCUAAAGUUGAAGCCUUUGUCGUGUUUAUGGAGCUUGUCCUUCAUCGCCAACAACGAGUGUUUGUUUUUUUUUUCUUUUCCCCGAAUUGUAAGAUCCCAUUUAUGGAAUGACUUAAUAAAUUUUCCCUUAAAAAAAACAAUUCUAC